UUUUUUUUUUCCAGCAGGGUCAUCAAAGAAGUGUGCCUUACUGGAUGAGCAGGUCUGAGAGGGAUGCACUGAGUUUCCAAAAUGCAGUUCAGCCCAUCACAAACCUGGCCAUUUGGAAUUUAACAGUGUAGUGAAAUUAACUGCUUGAUCCAUGGAGUACAUGGUAUCACCUCUUGUAGUCUCCUGAGAAAAAGAAGAUGGUAUUAUGCUUUUUUCAGUGUUGACUUCAUGGACAGUGCAUUUUUCUCCCUAAUUAAAAUUUAUCUCUUACAAGAUUGAAAUUUCAUUGUACACUUUCCAUUUCUUCCUGUGAGUUUGAUGAAGAAAUGUUAAACGCAAUGUGUGGCUGUGCAUUUACAGCAGUAAAGGAAGGAGGCAUGAAUUAAAAAACAUGAGGACCUGCAAAUAACAUCUGGUCAUAGAUAAAGUAUGAGAAAGAACAUGAAUCUUCCAGGCUCUAGCUGAAGAUCAAAUGAAUCGAGAGAAGUUGCAUUUUCCAUUAGUGUUUUCAUACAGCUCUGCCUCCAGGCUUCAGGCAGGACCAGAAAGAAACAAAAGUGCCAAAAUAUCAUGAGAAAAGCUGCUCUUGCAAAAUUUCUGGCCUGACCAGUAUAGGAAAAUCUCAUGAAAGACUGUUCUCGUUUCUUUCCAGCCCUGCUUGGCAUGCCCACUUGGAAGUUUUGAACCAUAUUUGAAUUAUCUGGUUUCC
This is a non-coding RNA of Meleagris gallopavo (turkey), 709 nucleotides long. The record is from RefSeq and is a predicted model, not a curated record. Lineage: Eukaryota; Metazoa; Chordata; Aves; Galliformes; Phasianidae.